This 500-nucleotide ribosomal RNA is filed under the name Yarrowia bubula. RNAcentral describes it as "eukaryotic LSU rRNA". It matches the Rfam family "Eukaryotic large subunit ribosomal RNA", at positions 62 to 648 of the family's 3401-position model. The record is from RNAcentral. Lineage: Eukaryota; Fungi; Ascomycota; Dipodascomycetes; Dipodascales. RNAcentral also lists the same sequence under 1 other name.
AAACCAACAGGGAUUGCCUCAGUAACGGCGAGUGAAGCGGCAAAAGCUCAAAUUUGAAACCCUCGGGAUUGUAAUUUGAAGAUUUGGAAUUGAGAAAAGCUAACCCAAGUUACUUGGAAUAGUACGUCAUAGAGGGUGACAACCCCGUCUGGCUAACCGUUUCUCAUGUAUUUCCUUAUCAAAGAGUCGAGUUGUUUGGGAAUGCAGCUCAAAGUGGGUGGUAAACUCCAUCUAAAGCUAAAUACUGGUGAGAGACCGAUAGCGAACAAGUACUGUGAAGGAAAGGUGAAAAGAACUUUGAAAAGAGAGUGAAAUAGUAUGUGAAAUUGUUGAUAGGGAAGGGAAUGAGCGGAGAGUGGUGAUAGUUUCAGCGGCCGUUCGCGGCCGUGUAUUGCUUUAGCCGAGUCAUGGUGAGUGGAGAGAGGGAUAUAAACGGGUUGCUUUUAAGCUUCUCACCUACCCCUCUUCCUCCUUACCACGACAUAAUCCGCCCAUUCCAC